This 868-nucleotide long non-coding RNA is filed under the name Rattus norvegicus (Norway rat). Its description in RNAcentral is "long non-coding RNA NONRATT005523". Lineage: Eukaryota; Metazoa; Chordata; Mammalia; Rodentia; Muridae. The record is from RNAcentral.
AUAACCCCCUGCCCAUUCCCCAGAACAGGGCCCAGGGCAUGGCUCCCCACCCACUUCCAGCCCCGAGACACUUGUGGACCAGAUCCUGGAGUCUGUGGACUCAGACUCCUAAGGGAUAUUCAUUGACUUUGGGCAGGGAAUUCGCUCCAGUGUGUCUGACUUUGAGGCAACAUGUGGCUGGCCGAGUGUUGUGUAUUGGCCUGAAGUUAGUUCAUGUUUUUACUGCCCCUGUGUGUUUGCAUGUCUUGUAUGUGUGCGUGAGAGACUUGUUACUCUUUCCUAACCUUACCAGCCCCCUUUCACUGCCUCAAGUCACUUCGUACUCCCCGUCUGUUGGAAAACCCAUCCACCACCACCACCAUCCCCUGCUCACCCAAGGGCUGAUUGGGACACCCAGUCAGCACCAUCCAGAUACAUACUCAACCAUCUGGAGGAUGGGGUCACCAUGUGCCCUCCUGCCUGUCCCACCUUUGGUGCCUACAACUUACCCAGGAAAAUGUGAACCAGUAGGCUCACCUGCCACAGCCACUCCAGUGGAGUCUGCGUGACAGGAAGCUCUUAUGCUUCGUUUCUAUCCAGAACAGAGGCAUGUGCCUGGAAUGGCUUGGCCUCCUGGAGGUCCCUGGCAGUCUGCCUACAAAUAGAUGAUGACCAGGGUCUAUGCUUGUGGUGGAGGUGCCUUCUGUGUUCUAGCCUUGGUGAUCUUAGCAACUUUAAGCCUGUCAACAAUAUCUGGUUUUAAGAACAUAGCAGGGGCUGGGGAUUUAGCUCAGUGGUAGAGCGCUUACCAGGAAGCGCAAGGCCCUGGGUUCGGUCCCGGAGCCCGAAAAAAAAAAAAAAAAAAGACCCAAAAAAAAAAAAAAAAAAA